This 87-nucleotide transfer RNA is filed under the name Phycisphaerae bacterium. Its description in RNAcentral is "tRNA-Ser". It matches the Rfam family "tRNA". From Rfam's summary of the family: Transfer RNA (tRNA) molecules are approximately 80 nucleotides in length. Lineage: Bacteria; Pseudomonadati; Planctomycetota; Phycisphaerae. The record is from RNAcentral.
GGUAGGGUGUCCGAGUGGUUUAAGGAACUGGUCUUGAAAACCAGCGUGCCCGAAAGGGUACCGUGGGUUCGAAUCCCACCCCUACCG